UAUAUUUGACAGACUGCACCGGUCUUCGGAAACUUCCGAGAAUCAUCAAUAAAAUAAAAUCUCUAGAAACUUUGAUUCUUUCUGGAUGUUGAAUGAUUGACAAAUUGGAGGAGGACAUAGAACAGAUGGAGCCGUUGAUUACCUUGAUUGCGGAUAAGACUGCCAUAAAAAAAAGUGCCAUUUUCAAUAGUAAGAUUGAAAAGCAUUGGAUAUAUUUCUUUAUGCGGCUUUGAAGGAUUUUCACGUGAUGUAUUCCCUUCUCUCAUUCGCUCUUGGAUAUCGCCAUCAAAUAACAUAAUAUCCUUAGUUCAAACAUCUGUGUCCAUGUCAUCACUUGGCUCUUCCAAGGACCUUCAAAAACUUCGAAUUCUUUGUGUAGAGUGUGGUUCAGAUCUACAACAAACUCAAUACAUAGCAAGAUUUUUGGAUGUAUUAAAAGCCACAAAUUGUCAGAACUUGGAAGCAAGUGCAAGUUCAACUACAUCAGAGAUCUUUGAUAUGUAUGCUUCUCCCUUAAUUGAUGAUUGACUUGGUCAAGUGCGCACUUCAGAGUCAAAGAAUCACUUGAAAUGUCUCUUAGUUCAAAUAGGAACAAAAUUCCAAGUCUCCAAAAUUGCCAAAGACAGUGUUUUACAGACUACAGAUGAGAUUUGGGAUUCAUUUUUCCCCCCUGUGACAAUAAUUCUGAAUGGUCAACCUUUAGUUGCAAAGGUUGUUCCAUAAUAUUUGAUAUCCCUGCAAUGAAGGGCCGAAACCUGAAGAGUAUGAUGUUGUUCACCGUCUAUCACUCUCCCUCGGAAAACAUAACAUCUGAAGGUUGCCAAGUGUUGGGUCGUCCAGCACAAAGUUCUUCAACCUCAGGCAUGGGAGUUUACGGAGUUUUCUCGCUUUGGCAAGUUUGGUCUUGUUGUGAACUCGCUUUGGCAUGUUGAGCGCUAGCAAUCCUGGGACUUUCUGCC
Medicago truncatula (barrel medic) is the source of this 959-nucleotide long non-coding RNA. RefSeq lists it as uncharacterized. The transcript is spliced from 3 exons. The record is from RefSeq and is a predicted model, not a curated record. NCBI's taxonomy places the organism in Eukaryota, Viridiplantae, Streptophyta, Magnoliopsida, Fabales, Fabaceae.